UACGUAGGGGGCAAGCGUUGUCCGGAAUCAUUGGGCGUAAAGAGCGCGUAGGCGGCUCGUUAAGUGUGAAGUGAAAUCUCUAGGGCUCAACCCAGAAACUGCUUUACAUACUGGCGAGCUGGAGUGAUGCAGAGGUUUGUGGAAUUCCUGGUGUAGCGGUGAAAUGCGUUGAUAUCAGGAGGAACACCCAUGGCGAAGGCAGCAAACUGGGCAUUAACUGACGCUGAGGCGCGAAAGCGUGGGUAGCAAACAGG
Molecule: ribosomal RNA, 254 nt
Filed under: uncultured bacterium
Lineage: Bacteria
Description: partial 16S ribosomal RNA
Rfam family: Bacterial small subunit ribosomal RNA
Source: RNAcentral